RNAcentral lists this ribosomal RNA (508 nucleotides) under Penicillium biourgeianum. RNAcentral describes it as "eukaryotic LSU rRNA". The stretch from base 137 to 290 matches the Rfam family "5.8S ribosomal RNA". Lineage: Eukaryota; Fungi; Ascomycota; Eurotiomycetes; Eurotiales; Aspergillaceae. The record is from RNAcentral.
GUUUAUUUACCUUGUUGCUUCGGCGAGCCUGCCUUUUGGCUGCCGGGGGACGUCAGUCCCCGGGUCCGUGCUCGCCGGAGACACCUUAGAACUCUGUCUGAAGAUUGUAGUCUGAGAUUAAAUAUAAAUUAUUUAAAACUUUCAACAACGGAUCUCUUGGUUCCGGCAUCGAUGAAGAACGCAGCGAAAUGCGAUACGUAAUGUGAAUUGCAGAAUUCAGUGAAUCAUCGAGUCUUUGAACGCACAUUGCGCCCUCUGGUAUUCCGGAGGGCAUGCCUGUCCGAGCGUCAUUGCUGCCCUCAAGCACGGCUUGUGUGUUGGGCCCCGUCCUCCUUCCGGGGGACGGGUCCGAAAGGCAGCGGCGGCACCGCGUCCGGUCCUCAAGCGUAUGGGGCUUUGUCACUCGCUUUGUAGGCCUGGCCGGCGCUUGCCGAUCAACCAAACUUUUUAUCAGGUUGACCUCGGAUCAGGUAGGGAUACCCGCUGAACUUAAGCAUAUCAAUAAGCG